GAUGAACGCUGGCGGCGUGCCUAAUACAUGCAAGUCGAGCGAACAGAUGAGGAUCUUGCUCCUCUGACGUUAGCGGCGGACGGGUGAGUAACACGUGUAUAACCUACCUAUAAUACUGGGAUAACUUCGGGAAACCGGAGCUAAUACCGGAUAAUAUAUUGAACCGCAUGGUUCAAUAGUGAAAGACGGUUGUGCGGUCACUUAUAGAUGGAUCCGCGCCGAAUUAGCUAGUUGGUAAGGUAACGGCUUACCAAGGCAACGAUGCGUAGCCGAAGUGAGAGAGUGAUCGGCCCCCCUGGAACUGGACCACGCACCAGCCUCCUACGGGAGGCAGCAGUCGGGAACCUUAGGCAAUGGGCGAAAGCCUGACGGAGCAACGCCACGUGAGUGAUGACGGUCUUCGGAUCGUAAAAAUCUGUUAUUAGUGAAGAACCACUGUGUACGUAACUAUGCACGUCUUGACGGUACCUAAUCAGAAAGCCCCGGCUAACUACGUG
Molecule: ribosomal RNA, 497 nt
Filed under: uncultured bacterium
Lineage: Bacteria
Description: partial 16S ribosomal RNA
Rfam family: Bacterial small subunit ribosomal RNA
Source: RNAcentral